GGAUUUUUUUCUUAAUAAGACUUGGAUAUUUUUAUUUUUGGCCUUAAGGAAUUACUUCCAAGUAGCUUUGCUUCCAAUUACUUCAAUAGUGGCUGAUUAUUAAAUUUUUGUAAAGAGUUUUUUUUCAUGAAACUUAAAUAUAAAUAUAACCCUGAUAGAGUCCAAGAAAUUUCUAUUUAUCAAUAAUAAUUAUUUUUCUAACCAAUGUAGAUAAUAAAAUUAACAAGGUUAAAGAAUAAAUUAUAAAGAAGCAAUAAAUAGAAGAGUACAAAUUUUUAGUUAUUUAGUUAUAUAAAAUUUUAAUUGAGUCUUUUUCACUUACUAAUAGAAUUAAAACUGUAAAUUUGCUUACAUAUGUUCUUUCAAAUCAUUCAUUUUAUUCUCGUCUUUAUCUUUAAAAAUAAUUUUUGUAUCGAUUUAAAUUUCAGAAUUUCUUCAUUAGGGUUUUUAACUUGAAUUUUGAUAUUUUAAUCUAAGUGUUUCAACAUAAUUUUUAUUAUUUUAUCAUUAUGAAUUAAAUUUUAAUGCAACAAAGUAAUGGAAUUUCAGAAUAUUUCUAAUACAUUUCUAAUAUAUUGAUGUUACAUUGCACUAUCAAUAAUUUCAUAUAUGUCUUCAUUUAUAUAAUUUAGGUAUAUUAUAACACUAAAUAUGUCAUUUCUUUGAGUGGGUGCUUUGUGAACACAAUCCAAUAGCUCUUGUAAACUCCUAGACCUUUAAGGUAUAUUUCUUUUAAAACAAUAAACCAUGUAUCUAUUAUUAAAAAAUUUAAAUUGAUCAGUUAAUUAAUUAUAUACUGAUUAUUUUAUGAAAUAGAAAACAUGUAAUUUUGAUAAUAAAUUUAAAUUCAUUUUACAAUUGACUUGUGGGAUCAAAUGCUAACUUUUUGAUAUUAGGUUUUCAACUUUGAUUUCAUGUACAAUUUCAGGUACCCAAAUAAAUGUAUCACUUCUGUAUUAUAAUAUAUGAUAGAGCUACAAAUUGGUUGUCAUGUGAACCUCCAGCAUUGUUUUAAACACAAAAUGUUGCAAGGACUAACUCCCUAUUACACUGUACAUUUCUGGUGCAAAAACCCAAA
This 1078-nucleotide long non-coding RNA is filed under the name Physcomitrium patens. RNAcentral describes it as "long non-coding RNA (PPAT_LNC001197)". Lineage: Eukaryota; Viridiplantae; Streptophyta; Bryopsida; Funariales; Funariaceae. The record is from RNAcentral.